This is a long non-coding RNA of Cyprinus carpio (common carp), 579 nucleotides long. The record is from Ensembl. NCBI's taxonomy places the organism in Eukaryota, Metazoa, Chordata, Actinopteri, Cypriniformes, Cyprinidae.
AUGGUUCAAUGUGUUUACAACAAUAGAACAGAAGAUCUAGUCCAGUGGAAGGCGCUCAGCCACCGAAAACAGAAGUUCCACCUCAGACAGUGUAAAGCAGAUGGUGCGACAGGGCGGCCCAUUUCAGCUAGAGGAAAGGCUCAGUUGCACAAAAAUGUGGAGGAGAGUCGAACCUGCUUGACCUUUUUUUUUUUUUAUAACCUCAGCCUAAAUGCUGAUCUAUUAGGUUUAAAUCUGAUGUAUUUUUAGGUCUUUAUAGCACAUGUGCUGCAUUAUAUCACUUUUGUGUUCAACAACACCAUUCAGGAUGCAUCUCACCUGACCCAGUUAUUUUACUCAUGCAUGAAUAAUUUGCUUUAAAUGUUGUUGUUAUAUAAAGGUCACUUAUGGAAAUAUUUAUGGAAGCAAUCAUGAAUAAUGAAUUGAAAACUUGCACACUGAAUUAAUUACACUGAAGAACUCUCGUUUCAUCUAAUAGAUUUAAUUCAUGUAGACACAUGAUGACGUUGAUAUUUUCACUCAUUUACAUUUUAAUGAAGAGAACAUUGUUAAAAUAAAUUAAGAGUAAAUCGCUCUCCA